Molecule: ribosomal RNA, 215 nt
Filed under: uncultured bacterium
Lineage: Bacteria
Description: partial 16S ribosomal RNA
Rfam family: Bacterial small subunit ribosomal RNA
Source: RNAcentral
AGCUCUUGACAUUCACUGAUCGUUUCCAGAGAUGGAUUCAUCCUAGCAAUAGGCAGUGGGACAGGUGCUGCAUGGCUGUCGUCAGCUCGUGUCGUGAGAUGUUGGGUUAAGUCCCGCAACGAGCGCAACCCUCGCCAUUAGUUGCCAUCAUUCAGUUGGGCACUCUAGUGGGACUGCCGGUGAUAAGCCGGAGGAAGGUGGGGAUGACGUCAAGU